RNA transcript from Coregonus clupeaformis (lake whitefish), 3804 nucleotides. It is a transcript of the gene named beta-1,3-N-acetylglucosaminyltransferase radical fringe, with no coding region annotated. Lineage: Eukaryota; Metazoa; Chordata; Actinopteri; Salmoniformes; Salmonidae. The record is from RefSeq and is a predicted model, not a curated record. The transcript has 10 exons.
UCCCAGUUGUUUUGAACGCGGCAUAUUUUCGAUCAACAACAACAAAAAACUGUUGCAAACUGAUGGUAAUUUGUAUUAAGAUACAACUAGUUCAGAAAGUAAAAAUGAAUUACUCAAAUUGUAAAUGAUAACAAUUUAUUUGAGGUCCCCCUUGAGAUGAAUAAGUGUUUUUAACUUUGUCACACGAGUUGGCUUAGCCUACUGGAGGGAUGUUGCCGCGAGUUGUUUUGUCUGACAACUUUUUCAUUGUCAGCACAAAAUAGACUACGAGAGCCUACGACAUCUAGAGCGAAAAUAGCAACACAUUGGCGACCCCAACAGCUGUAGCCUACUACGCUACAGGGACAUUUAACUUGCAAGGCCAGGUCAGCAUCAGCCAGAGGGCGCUCAGUUUCAGAGGAUUUGCUUUUGGAGAGAGAAUCACGCAGUAUGUGAUUUGAGAGGAAUCCGAGAAACAGAGGUCGUUUAUAAUCGCAAUGGAAUCAAAUUAUGAUGUUUGAGUCACUUGCACUUGACUGGCUGAGUGCACAGCUAGGCUACUUAAUCGCGGUCUAACAGAGAAAGCGGGCUGCUGAUGGUUAAAGUUUGAGCCCAAUCAAAUCAUAGUCCAGACGAGGAGACAAAAAAGAGAAGAUCGUUGAAGAGGAUAAAAGCGUCUGGAAACCCUGUAUUGUAUUGUAUUUUCUUUGAACAGAUUCUGUUCACUUAAUUCAUUUUUGGUGAACAGUUCCCUGGUGUUUUUGUUGCAGUUGGGAGGAGGCACAUCGGAGAAAAAACUUGAUUUAUUUUGUUUCCAUGUUCAUGUGUGAUGUCAUAAAGAUGGGACGCAGUGGAGCGGGAAGCAAAGCUGGUGCCGGCGGCUGACAGGCCCCUCCAGCGGCCAAUCAGGAUGCAUGUCUCCUCGAUGGGUGUCAGCAAGCUAUGCUUCCUGUUCUCCCUGGCCCUCUGUGCCCUCCUCCUGCUCCUCAUCCCCGCCCUCCAGCCCUCACAGCAUCAGGGGGACCUGCCCCAGCCCCGGGCCCACACCAAGCCUGCCCGGGCGGGCACAGGCGCCGGCAAACCCUCCCAGCACCCUGGAGGUCUGGUGGUCCCUCUCCAGGCAGAUGUGGGGAAAGUGACAGUGACAGUGGGGCGUAAUGCGAUUGAUGGUGGCUCUAUGGGGCAGGGCACAACCAGAGAGACCAAGAGGACUGGGGAUGGGGACUGGGUGUAUACAGCUGGUCGAGGUGACACCCAGGGCACUGGGAAGCAUACAGACUCUCAGACAGGGCCAAAGGAGGACUUCCUCCAUAGAGCUGGGGGUGUGGCGGGGGCUGGAGGGUCUCGGUCCAGGACCCCUCUGGAGCUGAAAGACAUUUUCAUAGCGGUGAAGACCACCAAGAAGUACCACAAGUCCAGACUGGAUCUGCUGUUCCAGACCUGGGUGUCCAAAGCCAAAGAACAGACCUUUAUAUUCACUGAUGGGGAGGAUAAGGAGCUGAGGAGGAGAGCAGGGGCUAACGUCGUCAACACCAACUGUUCAGCAGCACACACACGGCAGGCCCUGUGCUGUAAAAUGUCUGUGGAAUACGACAAGUUCAUCGAGUCGCAGAGGAAGUGGUUCUGCCAUAUGGAUGAUGAUAACUAUGUGAUUGUACCCAGUCUGCUGAAGCUGCUGUCCUCCUACCACCACACCCAGGAUGUUUACCUGGGCCGGCCCAGCCUCGACCACCCCAUAGAGGCUGCAGAGAGGGUCAAGAGUGACGGAUCUGUGUCAGUGAAGUUCUGGUUUGCUACAGGAGGAGCAGGGUUCUGUAUCAGUCGUGGUCUGGCCCUCAAGAUGAGUCCAUGGGCUAGUCUGGGGAACUUCAUCAGCACAGCGGAGAAGAUCCGUCUCCCUGACGACUGCACCAUCGGUUACAUAAUUGAGGCGCUGCUGGAGGUGAUGCUGACCCACACACACCUCUUCCACUCCCACCUGGAGAACCUGCAGAGGCUGCCCACAGACACCGUGCUGGAGCAGGUCACUCUGAGCUACGGUGGUUUUGAGAACAGGAGGAAUGUGGUCAGCAUUGGAGGAGCCUUUUCUCUGGUGGAGGACCCCUCACGGUUUAAGACUGUCCACUGCCUCCUCUACCCAGAGACCGACUGGUGUCCUAGUAAGGGUCACCAUUGAUGGCCACUAAAGUAUAUCAACAAUACUUCCUACCAGCCUGGUUGUCUGGUGUCCCUGUGUAUGCUAGCUAUAUCAUUGCCAUGGCAAAAUGACAAUUUGGCCAAAGCAAAACCAGACUGGCACCCUGGCUAACCCUACAGAACCACUUCACUCAGAUAAAAUGGUUAGAUGUCUGUGGGUCUUUGAGAGGAGACAAGACGAGGUAACUGGAGUAAGGAUCACUUUGGUCAUGGUGGGAAGAUGAAGAAAUGCCCCACUACUCUUUCUUAUCACUACUGUACCCUCCACUCGACUCAUUGCAGGAAGUUGUCAUCACUGGCUGUUGCCGUGGCGAUGUGUAUCACCACUCCUUGCUUUAAAUCCCAAUCUCUUUUACUAUUGUAGUCCAGGGUUUUUUGAAGGAGUGUUAAGGUACUUAAAUUACUGUUGAAAAGGUACCUUAAGAUGCUGAACAGGGUGAAAUGUUAAUUUAUUUGCUUUUAGGUCCAAAGAUUUACUGGACUGAUGUUUUUUAUACAAGGGCUCAUGACCAAAAGUAGUCAGAGAUGAAUAUCAGAUAUUAGUGUUACAGGAAGAGAGAGAAAGUUUAAGUAAUGAGUGAGAGCCGUUUGUGCUUGUGUAACGGAGUUAAGAACGUACCGUAAGCUCACUCCACAACUAGCUUGAAAUGUCGCAGAUGGAGCUAUCCAAUUGGAUCCUUUUGUAUAGCUCAAUCGGUUGGUACAUUGUCAAGGAGGGCGGUCACGUGUGUUUGCGAGCAGAGGAUCACUAGUUGAAGCCCGGUAUGGGGACCGUGACAGUGGAGGAAGCUAUACUGUUAGCUACACGUUGGUUUCACUUCAGAGACAACCCUUGUUGUGCCCCUCAUGUCCUGAAGUUAAUUUCUUACCAGAAGAGGUUUUAAACUGGUGUGUGUACAUGUGUGCAGGUUUGUGUGCAACCUAAUGGUUUAACCACUCAAUCAGAAUGCUUUUAACAUCUUAUAGCCAAAGAUAAUGCCAGUGCCUUAUGUUUCAAUCAACUAGACUUUGGAAAUGCUUAAGAGCACAUAAUGAAAAAUGAAUUGAAGAAAUGAAAGUGAUCAUAUGUGUGAUAGUAGGAAUAAACAUGAGUGUGCACCACACAUAUACACACAGCCCUGCAGUAACCAAAACAGACUCCUCUGAAGGUGACACACUAUCUUAAAGAUCAUUCAUUAGAACCCUUUUUUUUGCGUUUCCCCCAAUACAUGUUUUUUCUCUGUCAAAAAGACUACACAUUUUGCACUCAUCUCAAUUCCUGUGUAUAAUAUUUUGGUGUUAUUAAAAGUUACAGAGUUGUUGACGUGUUAUAAUGUGUGAGCUUGAGCUGGAAGUACUUCGUGUCUUUUUCUGAUGUCUCACAUUCUCCUUUUUGCACAAAAACACUACAAUCCAAAUACAGAAUCUGUCUGUCUUUCCCCACUGCAGGUCAGUUGCUGAGAGAGAGAGAGAGAGAGAGAGAGAGCGAGAGAGAGAGAGAGAGAGAGAGAGAGAGAGAGAGAGGUCUGAUUAAGACUCUAGUCAGGAUGUGAUUUUUCCUCUUGUCUUCUCCUGUCCUCUGUUUUACCAUUGAUGUAUUAUUUUGUUUUCUGUUGAAUAAAGCAUGUUUUGCAGCAUUACCAAACAACA